CAAUAGCGUAUAUUAAAGUUGUUGCGGUUAAAAAGCUCGUAGUUGGAUUUGUGGUUCGUCCCGCCGGCUGGGUCAUUGACUUUUGCUGUGCUGGUCGUCCAUCCUUGGGUGGAAUCUGUGUGGCAUUAGGUUGUCGCGCAGGGGAUGCCCAUCGUUUACUGUGAAAAAAUUAGAGUGUUCAAAGCAGGCUUAUGCCGUUGAAUAUAUUAGCAUGGAAUAAUGAUAUAGGACCUUGGUACUAUUUUGUUGGUUUGCGCAUCGAGGUAAUGAUUAAUAGGGACAGUUGGGGGUAUUCGUAUUCCAUUGUAAGAGGUGAAAUUCUUGGAUUUUUGGAAGACGAACUACUGCGAAAGCAUUUACCAAGGAUGUUUUCAUUA
Molecule: ribosomal RNA, 377 nt
Filed under: uncultured eukaryote
Lineage: Eukaryota
Description: partial 18S ribosomal RNA
Rfam family: Eukaryotic small subunit ribosomal RNA
Source: RNAcentral